RNAcentral lists this ribosomal RNA (498 nucleotides) under uncultured bacterium. RNAcentral describes it as "partial 16S ribosomal RNA". It matches the Rfam family "Bacterial small subunit ribosomal RNA", at positions 28 to 507 of the family's 1533-position model. The record is from RNAcentral.
GACGAACGCUGGCGGCGUGCCUAAUACAUGCGAGUCGAGCGGACGAAUCGAAAGCUUGCUUUUGAUUCGUUAGCGGCGGACGGGUGAGUAACACGUGGGCAACCUGCCCUGUAGACGGGGAUAACACCGAGAAAUCGGUGCUAAUACCGGAUAACACGAAAUGUCGCAUGACGUUUCGUUGAAAGACGGCGCAAGCUGUCGCUACAGGAUGGGCCCGCGGCGCAUUAGCUAGUUGGUGAGGUAACGGCUCACCAAGGCGACGAUGCGUAGCCGACCUGAGAGGGUGAUCGGCCACACUGGGACUGAGACACGGCCCAGACUCCUACGGGAGGCAGCAGUAGGGAAUCUUCCGCAAUGGACGAAAGUCUGACGGAGCAACGCCGCGUGAGCGAAGAAGGCCUUCGGGUCGUAAAGCUCUGUUGUUAGGGAAGAACAAGUAACGCAGUAACUGGCGUUACCGUGACGGUACCUAACGAGAAAGCCACGGCUAACUACGUG